AAAGAACAAAGUAAUGGAGGCAGAAACAAACUUUGUUAAUCAUCAAUUGAAUAUUGUUGAUGAUUCACCAAUGACCAACAAUGAGGAAAAGGUUGAUGAUAUUACUGAACCUUCUGAAAGUAUCUUUUGGGAUAUCGUUUAAUUUCUUGUUUUAAUUAAACAUCUUGCAUGUAUAAUAUUAUUAGUUUUCAUUCUAUAUGUGAUAUGUGUUUCUCAUGAAUAAAAUUAUAUUUGAAAUGUAACUUUUCUUAUUUAUGUUUUUAUAUGUGUCAGACCAUCUUUAAUGGAUAUGGAGG
Molecule: long non-coding RNA, 296 nt
Filed under: Panax ginseng (ginseng)
Lineage: Eukaryota; Viridiplantae; Streptophyta; Magnoliopsida; Apiales; Araliaceae
Description: long non-coding RNA (PGIN_LNC004749)
Source: RNAcentral